RNAcentral lists this ribosomal RNA (253 nucleotides) under uncultured bacterium. RNAcentral describes it as "partial 16S ribosomal RNA". It matches the Rfam family "Bacterial small subunit ribosomal RNA", at positions 524 to 776 of the family's 1533-position model. The record is from RNAcentral.
UACGAAGGGGGCUAGCGUUGCUCGGAAUCACUGGGCGUAAAGCGCACGUAGGCGGAUCUUUAAGUCAGGGGUGAAAUCCCAAGGCUCAACCUUGGAACUGCCUUUGAUACUGGGGAUCUCGAGUCCGGAAGAGGUUGGUGGAACUCCGAGUGUAGAGGUGAAAUUCGUAGAUAUUCGGAAGAACACCAGUGGCGAAGGCGGCCAACUGGUCCGGUACUGACGCUGAGGUGCGAAAGCGUGGGGAGCAAACAGG